Molecule: ribosomal RNA, 519 nt
Filed under: uncultured Paraglomus
Lineage: Eukaryota; Fungi; Glomeromycota; Glomeromycetes; Paraglomerales; Paraglomeraceae
Description: SSU rRNA
Rfam family: Eukaryotic small subunit ribosomal RNA
Source: RNAcentral
CUCAGCCGCGGUAAUUCCAGCUCCAAUAGCGUAUAUUAAAGUUGUUGCAGUUAAAAAGCUCGUAGUUGAACUUCAGGCCUGGCUGGGCGGUCCGCCUUCCGGGCGAGUACUGCCUGUGGUCGGGUCCUACCUUCUGGCGAAGCGUCAUGGCCUUAACCGGCCGUGGCGGGGAACCAGGACUUUUACUGUGAAAAAAUUAGAGUGUUCAAAGCAGGCACGCGCUUGAAUACAUUAGCAUGGAAUAAUGGAAUAGGACAGUGGUUCUAUUUGUUGGUUUCUAGGACCGUUGUAAUGAUUAAUAGGGAUAGUUGGGGGCAUUAGUAUUCAAUUGUCAGAGGUGAAAUUCUUGGAUUUAUUGAAGACUAACUACUGCGAAAGCAUUUGCCAAGGAUGUUUUCAUUAAUCAAGAACGAAAGUUAGGGGAUCGAAGACGAUCAGAUACCGUCGUAGUCUUAACCAUAAACUAUGCCGACUAGGAAUCGGGCGAUGUUGACAAAAUGACGCGCUCGGCACCUCAUA